Molecule: unclassified non-coding RNA, 206 nt
Filed under: Hevea brasiliensis (rubber tree)
Lineage: Eukaryota; Viridiplantae; Streptophyta; Magnoliopsida; Malpighiales; Euphorbiaceae
Source: RNAcentral
AAUUGCCAGUUUUGCCACCCUCUGUUUUGAAUUCGGAUUGAUCGGUUGUUAAGGCUUAUUACAGUCAUGGUUUGAUCUGUGUUCUGUAUUCAUGCUUUUCUUUUAUGUAUUGACAUUGAUUCCUUAAAAAGCUGUCUAAAUUGAUGUUGUUUUGGCUACGUCUAUAAUGAAGUUGCUUUGAUCAUUUUGAAAUCAUGACUUUAUCA